This is a long non-coding RNA of Rhinichthys klamathensis goyatoka, 625 nucleotides long. RefSeq lists it as uncharacterized. The record is from RefSeq and is a predicted model, not a curated record. The transcript is spliced from 4 exons. NCBI's taxonomy places the organism in Eukaryota, Metazoa, Chordata, Actinopteri, Cypriniformes, Leuciscidae.
UUUUAAACCAUUUACCAUGUUAUAGGGAAGCCUCAAGAAGUAUCAAGUGGAUUACAUGCAAGGUUGUCCCCAAGGACCACUGGAUUCUUAUGUUGCCAGCAUCUGUUCUGGAGGACAUUUUUAUUGAUGUGGUUCUCCAGGAGGGUGAUGAGGCAAUUUUGAAGCUGGCCCUUGUGUGCACUCGCUUCAGAGACCUUGUGACACGGGAAGGCUUCAGGAGACGAGCCCAUUUCCUUUGGCUUGACAGUGUCACAAAUUGAACUGUUUUCUCACCGUACUACAAGGCGGAGUACUACAAAAUGUACAAACCGGAAACGUGUAGGCAAUGUGGAGACGUAUACAAACACUGCACUCCAAGAUAUGGAGGUCGAGGAAGAAAGGGGGAACUUUUUAAAAUUAUAAGUGAAGACACCCACCCAGACUUCUGCAGCGAGUUCUGCCAGAUCUGUGCUGACCAGUGUGAAAGGAUGAAUAGCUAAUUGUGAAUGUCUGGUGGUUUCCCUGUAAUGUUUGUGUCAUUCUGCGCGUGCUCCCAAUGUGGUUUUCCUUAUGUUUUGCCUUCAAAGUUUCCCUACUGUUUUCAAAAUGUCUGUUUUACCUAGUGUGUUAAUAAACGUUUUUUUUU